Molecule: ribosomal RNA, 459 nt
Filed under: uncultured bacterium
Lineage: Bacteria
Description: partial 16S ribosomal RNA
Rfam family: Bacterial small subunit ribosomal RNA
Source: RNAcentral
CCUACGAGUGGCAGCAGUGAGGAAUAUUGGUCAAUGGCCGAGAGGCUGAACCAGCCAAGUCGCGUGAGGGAAGACGGCCCUACGGGUUGUAAACCUCUUUUGUCGGGGAGCAAAGCGAGUCACGUGUGACGCAUUGAGAGUACCCGAAGAAAAAGCAGCGGCUAACUCCGUGCCAGCAGCCGCGGUAAUACGGAGGAUGAGAGCGUUAUCCGGAUUUAUUGGGUUUAAAGGGUGCGCAGGCGGAGGUGCAAGUCAGCGGUCAAAUUGCGGGGCUCAACCUCGUACUGCCGUUGAAACUGCAUCCCUUGAGUGAGUGAGAAGUAUGCGGAAUGCGUGGUGUAGCGGUGAAAUGCAUAGAUAUCACGCAGAACUCCGAUUGCGAAGGCAGCAUACCGGCGCUCAACUGACGCUCAUGCACGAAAGUGUGGGUAUCGAACAGGAUUAGAUACCCUUGUAGUC